This 474-nucleotide unclassified non-coding RNA is filed under the name uncultured Bordetella sp. RNAcentral's name for it is "partial 16S-23S ribosomal RNA intergenic spacer". It matches the Rfam family "Bacterial small subunit ribosomal RNA", at positions 339 to 819 of the family's 1533-position model. The record is from RNAcentral. Lineage: Bacteria; Pseudomonadati; Pseudomonadota; Betaproteobacteria; Burkholderiales; Alcaligenaceae.
CUACGGGAGGCAGCAGUGGGGAAUUUUGGACAAUGGGGAAACCUGAUCCAGCCAUCCCGCGUGUGCGAUGAGGCCUUCGGGUUGUAAAGCGCUUUGGCAGGAAAACGGCGCAGUAAUACCGUGCAACUGACGGUACCUGCAGAAUAAGCACCGGCUAACUACGUGCCAGCAGCCGCGGUAAUACGUAGGGUGCAAGCGUUAAUCGAAUUACUGGGCGUAAAGCGUGCGCAGGCGGUUCGGAAGAAGAUCUUGAAAUCCCAGAGCUUAACUUUGGAACUGCAUUUUUAACUACCGAGCUAGAGUGUGUCAGAGAGGGAGGUGGAAUUCCGCGUGUAGCAGUGAAAUGCGUAGAUAUGCGGGAGGAACACCGAUGGCGAAGGCAACCUCCUGGGAUAACACUGACGCUCAUGCACGAAAGCGUGGGAGCAAACAGGAUUAGAUACCCCCGUAGUCCCUGUUACUGAUGCUCAGGAG